Molecule: ribosomal RNA, 253 nt
Filed under: uncultured bacterium
Lineage: Bacteria
Description: partial 16S ribosomal RNA
Rfam family: Bacterial small subunit ribosomal RNA
Source: RNAcentral
UACGUAUGGUGCGAGCGUUGCCCGGAUUUAUUGGGCGUAAAGGGCGCGUAGGCGGCCACGCACGUCCGUUGUGAAAUCGCCCGGCUCAACUGGGCGGGGUCAGCGGAUACGGUGUGGCUCGAGCAAGCUAGGGGGCAAUGGAACUCCCGGUGUAGUGGUGGAAUGCGUAGAUAUCGGGAAGAACACCAGUGGCGAAGGCGGUUGCCUGGAGCUUUGCUGACGCUGAUGCGCGAAAGCGUGGGGAGCGAUCCGG